CGCACCUUGCGCCCUCUGGUACUCCGGAGGGCAUGCCUGUCUGAGUGUCGUGUAGACUCGAUCCCGGGUUAAACCGUGAUCGGACUUGGGCGUUGCCUCUGGCUCGCCUCAAAUGCCUUAGCCGUGUGACGUGAUAGGUCUUCGUCCGAACGGCUCUAAACCCAUCUCGACUUUUGACCUCAGAUCAGGUAGGACUACCCGCUGAACUUAA
RNAcentral lists this unclassified non-coding RNA (211 nucleotides) under fungal sp. Its description in RNAcentral is "partial contains 5.8S ribosomal RNA, internal transcribed spacer 2, and large subunit ribosomal RNA". The record is from RNAcentral. Lineage: Eukaryota; Fungi.